Molecule: ribosomal RNA, 502 nt
Filed under: uncultured bacterium
Lineage: Bacteria
Description: partial 16S ribosomal RNA
Rfam family: Bacterial small subunit ribosomal RNA
Source: RNAcentral
GAUUAACGCUGGCGGCGUGCCUAACACAUGCAAGUCGAGCGGCAGCGAGUUUUACACUGAAUUCUGGAAGCUUCUAGUUGAAAGAGAAGAUUUAUUCAAGAAUUUUGUGUAAAAUGUCGGCGAGCGGCGGACGGCUGAGUAACGCGUGGGAAUGUACCCCAAAGUGAGGGAUAACGCAUCGAAAGGUGUGCUAAUACCGCAUAUGGUCUUCGGAUUAAAGCCUUCGGGCGCUUUGGGAACGGCCUGCGUAAGAUUAGAUAGUUGGUGGGGUAAUGGCCUACCAAGUCGACGAUCUUUAACUGGUUUGAGAGGAUGAUCAGUCAGACUGGAACUGAGACACGGUCCAGACUCCUACGGGAGGCAGCAGUGAGGAAUCUUCCACAAUGGGCGAAAGCCUGAUGGAGCAACGCCGCGUGCAGGAUGAAGGCCUUCGGGUUGUAAACUGCUUUUAUAAGUGAGGAUUAUGACAGUAACUUAUGAAUAAGGAUCGGCUAACUACGUG